GCCAUUCUGUCUUACCGUCGCGCUCGCUUUCAGAAAUUUUUCUUUAGUGUAGAGCAUGGAUAGCCAGGCUAGCGGAAUAAAAGGGCGUGGUGUGUUAUGGUGCCAUGAAGAGAUCCUGGAUCUCUUGGACAUAUGGGGAGAGAAGAAGGUCCAGGAGCAGCUUCGGAAAAGUCAUCGAAAUAUUGACCUUUUCGGUGUAGUGGCGGCCGAUCUGAAGGUCAGAGGACACAACAGGUCCGCUGAGGAAUGUCGGCGUAAAACCAAGAAUAUGCGGCAGGAAUACCGGAAGGUCAUUAAUCAUAAUGCUCGGUCCGGUAAUAACCGUGUCCGGUGCCCCUAUUAUGACGAGCUACAUGCCAUUCUUCCUGGGGAUGCCUCAGUAGCACCGAAAAGACUGGUAUCCAGUUUGUCCGUCGUACGGGAGGUUCCACGUACCAACGCUACUGUCGCUUCCUACUCGGCGUCUCCUUCCAGCCCCGAACUUUUCAAUAGCUCAUUCGCAACCAUAGAUCUGGAUACCUACCUGACCGAAGACUCUGGUGCUGUGGCUACUGAAGCAGGGCUUUCACGUGUACACGAGGACGAGGAUACUUGUGUGGCGGAACUCCAGGGAAUCCUUGAUGAAGACGAUACCGCCAGCGGCCAGUCAGAGAGCAGACGAGAACACAUUCCCCGGACCUCAUCCUCCAUUCCGGAAGCCAGGGAGGACAAUUUAUCGGUGUCAUCCAUGACAUCAACAGGCAGCUCAGGUAACGAAGCCAGCAGUAACAGCAUUGUGGGCAGACUCCUGCUCCCGGUCUACCGUUGACAGCAGCAAGCGCCCCACC
Molecule: long non-coding RNA, 827 nt
Filed under: Salvator merianae (Argentine black and white tegu)
Lineage: Eukaryota; Metazoa; Chordata; Lepidosauria; Squamata; Teiidae
Description: lncRNA (ENSSMRG00000004226.1)
Source: RNAcentral